RNAcentral lists this long non-coding RNA (1853 nucleotides) under Homo sapiens (human). RNAcentral describes it as "HSALNT0331882". The record is from RNAcentral. Lineage: Eukaryota; Metazoa; Chordata; Mammalia; Primates; Hominidae.
GACAACUCGCGGGGAUUGUUUUCCACACCGUGGAAGCUUUGUUCUUUUCGUUUUUUGCAAUAAAUCUUGUUGCUGCUCGCUUUUUGGGUCCACAUUGCUUUUAUGAGCUGUACCACUCACCGUGAAGAUCUGCAGCUUCACUUCAGAGCCUAGCGAGACCACAAGCUCACUGAGAGGAACAAACAACUCCAGACGCGCUGUCUUAAGAGCUAUAACACUCACCGCGAAGGUGUGCAGUUUCACUCCUGAGCUAGUGAGACUACGAAGCCACUGGAACGAAGAAACUCCAACCACGUUUGAACAUCAGAAGGGGCAGACUCCAGACGCUUCAUCUUAAGAGCUGUAACACUCACUGUGAAGGUCUGCAGCUUCACUCCUGAGCCAGCGAGACCACGAACCGAUCUGAACAUCAGAAGGGACAGACUCCAGAUGCCCCACCUUAAGAGCUGUAAUACUCACUGCAAGGGUCUGCAGCUUCAUUCUUGAAGUCAGACCAAGAACCCAGCAAUUCCCAACACACAGGGACCAGCUUCUUUCCUAACUCACUUAGGCUCUUCGUGCUGCUCUGGCAACUAACACCCUUGGCUGCAGGGGCUUGGACACUACCCUUAGUCACUGACAAUUGUGUGAAGGCUGCUGUCGUUAACUUCACUUGAUCACCUUAGGCUCCUGUGAAGUGGUGAGCAAUUCAAACAAAUUCCUGUCGUCAAAUCAUGAUAUACAUCUUUCCACACCAAUAGACCUUGUUUUCCGAUGUAGCAUUAUUUUUCAUAGUUGGCGAAUAUACAGUUAUGGAUUCAUAACAGCAAGAUGGAGAAAUUGCACUGCAGAGAAAUCUUUAAAAGCAAUUACCUAAUACUGCAGAUUGCUGAACUGUACCCACACCCAAGACUGAGCAUUGGAUCAAUCCAGAAUAUACAUCAGGUGUUCUGCAAUGUCUGCCUAAAACCAUGACUCUGCCUCCUCCAGCUGUUGCUACAUCUCACUAUGGGUUUCCUGUGACAUUUUGAGCAAGUAUGCCUCUGUGACUGGGGUUCUUACACUCCAGAAUGGAUGAGAAGCACCGUAAGUGGCUUUUAAAAUGAAUAUUCCCUGGCCCUUCAGUCGCUCUAUAGGUCAAGAAUCUGAAUUCUCAACCUGUCUAGAAGGUUCUGGUUUUAAUGGUCUGUGGGCUGCACAUUGAGAAACCUGUUCAGCGAGUGCAACAAAGGUUCCACAUGUGAGAAAGGAAGCAUCAGGUCUCUUGAGCCUGUUCUUUAAUCUGUAGGCUGCACCUUCUCUUUAAAUUCUGCUAAUAACACCAUGCGAGAAAACACCCGAGCUUGAAAAGCCCAUGUUCCAACAUAACUGUCCUUCACCACUCUGGAAAAUUAAUGGUUUGUUUCGAUUAUCCCUUUGUUAAACUCCAAAGUCAAAGAGCUCUGAAAGGCAUACGGUUAUUUUAAGUUUCAGGUGAUUUCUGUUGCCAAAUAUUUUAAAAAUUUAAAAUUGCUACGUGACCUCUUAGUAGUACUAUUAGAUUUCCUGACAAUAAAAAUAAGUCUUUUGGUUUCACCAUUUAUAGUUAGUACAGCUAAUAUUAAGUAUAAUUUUAAAAGCCUUUUAUUUUCUCAGAAAGAAAAAAUAAUCAAAAUCUGCUCAGUGUGGUAUUGAAUAAUUAAAAACAAAAGAACAGUAUCUUCACAUUAGUGUUUAAUAUUAAUUGCUUUUUUACCCUUGACACUGGUGCUAAUUAAAUUUUCAUUUUAUUUUCCAUGACUUGUUUAAACAGUUUUUGCAAAUUAUUGCUAAUCAGCCUAAUAAAACUGAAUCACCUAUUAAACAAUUUUGUUUUGAAUUAAAUGGCAUUAAAA